AACCGUUUUAAUCAAAAGCAAAAUCAUCAGAAAACAACAAAGAAGAAAGAAGAAACCCGGUAGAAAAAAGGAAACUCCAGUGCACCAUUUAAUCUUCUUCGAUGAACUGAAGCAUGGCCUCGAAUGAAAAAAUCAGGCCAGUCCAAACGAACCCAAGCCGAAUCAGUCAUUUGUUUGGGAAGUAUCUCUCGUCUCCUCUGCAAUCACCAUGUCUCUCACCGCCAUCGAGAUGUCCUCCAUCCAAAAGGUAUUUUUCGAUCUGAUAUUCCCCUCCCUUGCAAUAAAAUGCGCCACCCGAUAAGCUUCCCUUCUUGCAUGUUUAAAUCUAAUUUGAUGAAAAGUCCUCCCAAUUGAUUUGAUACCUGUAAUGACAGAAUCCAAAUAUGCUCGAUCAAAACCUUCAUGGUUGAUUUUCUCAAUUACCGUCCUAGAGUCCCCUUCUACCUCCACUUUGGUAAACCCGGUCUCUUUAGCAAAAAGAAGCCCUUGAAAGUUGGCUAUAGCUUCUGCCAAUAACGCAUCAAAGAUAUUGCCAUGGUGAGUAACUCCACUUCCCAUUACCUUUCCUCUUUCAUUUCUAAUAAUAAAACCCGAACAUGAACUCUUCGUUUGGCUUUUGUAGGCUGCAUCAAAAUUCAGUUUAACCCACGAAACUUGAGGAGGUCUCCAACAGUCUGAACCCACCGCAUUCACUACAGGUAAUUUCUCAUUUAACACUCUUAAUUCAUCAACCAUACUUAAGAUUUUUGCUAUUGAAUUCUGCUUUGUUGUUGAAAUACCUUUCGUCACUUGUUUGUUACGAGCCCACCAGAUUGCUCAAAUCGCUAUGAUAACCUUUUCCCAGAUCCUCUCUUCCUUAUGUUGGACUAGGUGAAAAAACCAUUGUAAAAAAGUCUCCAAAUUCAGAUUACUACCCCAGGAAAUACCUAUCCCAGUCCAUAUUUCUUUGACACUAUUACAUUCUACAACCACAUGUAGAAAAGACUCUGAAGUCGUAUUACACCGAGGAUAAAUUGCAGAAGUUCUAAUCCUCCGAUUAAAGAGCACUUGGUCUGUUGGCAAGAAGUCUCUUAAAGCUCGCCACAUCGUUAUUUUGAUCUUAGCAGGCAUAGAUAGAGACCACAUUUUUUUUAACACCAUUUGGGUAUCCUCUGAUAUUUCUGUAGUAUCACUUUGAAGCAUGAGUUCUUUAUAACCACUACGUACAAUAUACUGACCCGUUUUCUCCCCACGCCACACUUGGCAGUCUUUACUUAUAGCUCUAGAAAGAGGAAUGCACUUGAUCGCCUCCACCUCUUCAUUGGAAAAAAGGCUGGUAAUUAUAUCUUCUUUCCAUUUUCGAUUUUCCUGAUCAAUUAGUUCAUUCAUUGUUUGGACUGAAUAAUGAGUAGGACGUGUAUUGAUCUUGUUCCCAGCCAAUUGUGGCAACCAACGAUCAUACCAAAUCGAAAUAUUCUCACUUGUUCCAACCCUCUAUCCCAUUCGACUUUCCAGCAAACCUCGUGCCGCAUAAAUACUUUGCCAAGUAUACGACGGGUGAUUCCUAAGUCUUGCUUCCCAAAAGCUUGACCGAGGGUAAUAGUUGGCUUUAUAAAUUCUAGCUAACAAUGAAUCUGGAUUAACUACUAUCCGCCAUCCUUGUUUAGCUAACAAAUCGAUAUUAAAUUUCCCCAUGUCACAAAAAUUUAAUCCACCCUUCUCUUUAGCUUUGCAUAAUUCAGCCCAACAGCUCUAAUGUAAACCUCGACGAUUACCUCCCUUAUUCCACCAGAAUCUAUUCAUAACUUUUUCCAUAUCAACACACAACGACUUCGGAAGAAGAAAACAAGACAUGGCGUAAAUCGGGAUAGCCUGUAGCACAGCUUUAAUAAAGACUUCUUUACCCCCUUGAGAAAGCAUACGACUCCCCCAUCCGUUCACUCUUUUUCUCAACCUAUCAACUAUAUUUUGAAACGCCUCUUUCUUCUUUCUCCCCACCAUAGUAGGCAAUCCCAAAUACUUCUCCAUACUCGAAACUGUUUUAACACCCACACUAUUAGUUAAAAAAUCUUGACUUUCAACAGAACAAUUAGAGCUAAAGAAAAUUUGAGAUUUUUCCAAAUUAAUCUUCUGACCUGACGCUUUCUCAUAAGCCUUGAUGAAGCCCAUCACCAGUCUACAUCCAUCUUCGUUCGCAUCACCAAAGGUUAUGCUAUCAUCCGCAAAAAAUAAGUGAGUUACCCUCGGACCUCCCCUGCACACACGAGCACCCUUAAUCAAACCAGUCUGCUUAGCUUCCUUUAGAAUUGUUGAGAAACCCUCUGUACAGAUAAGGAAAAAAUAGGAACUCAAUGGAUCCCCUUGUCUAAGACCACGUCCUGGUUGAAAAUGCUCACUCAAUCUUCCAUUAACCAUACCGCAUGCUGGACCGAAGAGAUACAAUGGUAAAUUAAUUCCACCCACUUUUCAUCAAACCCCAUAUUUCUCAUCAUACCCACAAUAAAAUCCCACUCAACUCUGUCAUAAGCUUUGCUCAUGUCUAAUUUUAACUCAAAAGAGCCAUUCUUUCCUUUUCGUCUAUUUUUGAAAGAGUGAAAGAUUUCAUAAGCCGCAACAAUGUUAUCAGUAAUAAGUCGACUAUGAACAAACGCUCAUUGGGCUUCAUCAAUACAUCCAUCCAAUACUCACUUAAACCUGUUUGCAAUAGCUUUCGCAAUAAUUUUGUAGAGCACCGUACAUAAGCUUAUAGGCCGAAAAGACGUCAUACAAUCUGGCGAUGAAACUUUGGGGAUUAAAACAAUGAUUGUAGAAUUAACCUCAUUUAAACUAGCCUCCCUGUUAAGCACAUCAAGACAGAAUUUUGUGACAUCCUCACCUACAAUUCCCCAAAACCUUUGAAAGAACACCGCUUGAAAGCCAUCAAAACCUGGUGCUUUUGUUCCCCCAUUUCCAUGACCGCCCUGCUAAUUUCUUCAGCUCAAAAAGUUUCCAGUAGCAUCCUGUUCAUCUCUGUCGUUAUUAUUUUCUGCACCCCUUCAAAGAUUUCUCGAGCCCCCUUGCAUCCCUCACUGGAAAACAACCCUUUAAAGUUAUCAAUACCAAUCCGCAUCAAAUCAUCUUCCUUCUUCUUCAUUGACCCAUCUGCAUCCUUUAAUCCAACAAACCUAUUUUUACGGCGCCUACUCGAAGCACAAUUAUGGAAAAAACUAGUAUUACGAUCUCCAUAUUUUAACCAAUUCGCUCUACCCCGUUGUUCCCAAUAUAACUCUUCCUUAUCCAUUUCUAAAUUAAGCUCUUAUUUGGUUUGAAUUGUUGCCUCGAUGAUCUCAUCUGAAGGUUCUUCCGCUGUCAAAUUACGCAAACGCCUUGUUAAAAUCUCCAUAACCUCCCCUCUUUCCUUCUUCAAAUGACUUAUCCACCUUUUCAGACCCUCCCCCAUCAUAUUAAGCCUUUCAGGUACUGUCACAUUUUUAUUGGAAUCCCACAAAGUUUUAACUUGCUCAAAACAUGAAUCUUCUAAUAACCAAGCCGUUUCAAAUCGAAACUGACCUCCCAACCUAGAGGAGUUGCUUGAGCCAAUUGAUAAAUCAGUGUCCAAAAGCAAAGGGCAAUGGUCUGAAAUUGAAUUAUCUAUAUGAGUAAGACCGUAGGAUGGGAAAAUAUCAGACCAAGCUCGGUUUGCCACCCCGCUAUCAAGACGUUAUCUAAUAUUAUUAAUCCCAAAAUUUAUUCUUUCCCACGUAUACCAGCGACCAUUGUACCCUAGAUCCACUAGGUCACAUUCUUCCAAAAUAGACCGAAAAGCCUCCAUCUGCCUAUCAUCCCGUAACCGACCUCCCUAUUUUUCUGAACUAAACAGAAUCUCGUUAAAAUCCCCUAUAACAACCCAAGGAAAGUCGUUAUUCACACCCAAUUGUCGUAAUAAGUCCCAAGAUUCAAACCUCCUUCUGCUGUCAGGAAUGCCAUAGAACCCCGUUAGCCUCCAUUUUGUACCAUCCUCAUUAUUAUCAACAACAGCAUCAAUAUAAUUUUUUGAAAAACCCAAAUUAGUAACGUUCACCGUAUUACACCAGCUCAAAGAAAGACCCCUUCUUGAUCCCUAGGCUGAAACAUCAAACCCAUUCACAAAACCAUACUUUCUUCUUAUCCUUUCCAUCCUACUCCUCUCCACUUUCGUCUCCAUAAAGAAGACAAUUUGGGGAUAAUAUUUUUUCAGCACAUGCUGAACUCUCCGAACCGACCCUGGGUUCCCCAACCCACGGACGUUCCAGCUAAAAUUUUCAUAAUGCUCGGCUAACCUGCCUAGCAGAUUCAGCCGUUUGAGUGAAUUGACCUUCCUCUGCCCCAUUUUUCCACCUCAACUCCUGAUCAGGAGACCCAAAGGAAUCAUUAUUGGGCCUGGGUCUCUUUUUCCCGUCUCCUACAAUAAUUGGCAGAUCUUCUUCGGAGAUACCAACCUCCAUCAAAUCUGUCUUACAGCCUUCAUCAAUCAAGAUCUGUUUAGACUUUCCAUAUAAAUUUAACCCCAAAUUUACUCCAUCAUUCCUCAUUAAAUUAUUUCCAAACAUCUUGUUUCUAUCUUUCUCACAUUCAUUUCUAGCAAUUUCUUAAUUUCCUCCCCAAAAUCCGCUUGAAUCCCUUAACCAGAUACUACUUCCCGCCACUGUCCCCCGCCGUGGUGGAGCUCUCAACGAAAUAUCCCACUCUAGAGGAAGCUCCUUCCUUCCUUCCAGCAAUCUUUUGGGACAACAGUUUUCACUAUGUCCUAGUUUUCCACAUAAAAAAUAAAAAGUUGUCAGCCUUUCAAAUUUAAAAGAAACGAAAAACUCUUUUUUUGCUACAACAAGUUUCUUCUUCCUCUUCAGAGAUUGCUGGAUAUCUAUUUUAACUUUGAUUCGCAUAUAAUUCCUUAACCCUCCCGCAAUAGCUUUGACAUCAUAAUCCAUAAAAUUACCAAUGAAAUCUCUAAACUGUUUAGCUAUUGUUGAUGUGAACAUUCUAGGUGGUAAAUUAUGGAUUUCAAUCCAGAAUUCUGUGAAUAACAAAUCCACUUCCAAGAGGUCUUCACCAUGUUUUAAAUGAUGAAAAACAAGUAAGUGAUUGUUAAAGGUCCAUGGGGCACCAUUAACCACCCUGUCAAAAUCCAUUUCACAAUAAAAUUGAAAAACAAAACGUUUCUCCCCCACCUCCGUAAUAGAGAUUCCCCCCAAAGGGUGCCACAGGUUUGCCAUCACGGUCCUCAUUGACUAGAAAUUGAUUGUAGUUGCUGUUAGAAAACAUCCUACUAAGCACAGUUCUAAGAAAGGUUCUCCCUCCCCCACUUCCUCUUCAAUAUCCCAAGCCUCCAUCUCCCUACUAUCCCCUUCCUCCGUUAACCGUAGAUCUACUAACACCUCUUCCAUGCAAGCCGAUAACACAAUACUCUCACUAACACACUAAAACAAACAGAAACCUAAUGCUACACAAGGAGCAUACUAUCAAAACCUAAUUCAAAAAAAAAUUAAACUUAAAUAGGAGCAACUUUAAUCAAUUACUAUAUGAACAUAAUUUAUGCAUUCAUUUAUAGUCUAAAUAUUUUAUCAUAUUUAAAAACUAUCAUAUUUGAGACUUGUUUAAAAUAUGCUUAAAUUUUUAAUUUCUUUAUAGAUGUGGAAAUUAUUUUAUAUUUAAAAAUUAAGAUUCAAUUAUUAAUAUCAAUAAAAAAACUUUCAUUAAAUUUGUUGAUGUAAUAUUUUAAAAUAAAAAAAAUUCAUUCAGUAAUUAGGUAAAAAAAGUACUGUAAUUAACUUAAUUCAACAUGAAAAAAUUAAUAGUGUAAAAAAAUUGAAUUAGCAUUUUUAAAUUAGAAAAGUAGGUUGAUUAAAUUAUUAGGUAAAAUACACCCAAUGUUACUAAACUAUUAAUAAGUUUACGUUUUGGUCACUCAACCUCAAAAGGCUACAAAAUGGUUAUUGAACCAUUCGAAAAUUUUCAUUUAAGUUAUUGAACUAUUCGAAAAUUUUUAUUUAAGUUAUUGAGUUGUUAAGUUUCUUUUUUAAAGUUCGGCUACUGAGCUUCAAGUGACGAUUCAAUUAUCAGUAUGGUGAAUUUGUACCCAUCAAUAAGUAGAAGAAUAUAUCUUAGAUCCAAGUCAGUCUGACGGUCAAUAUCGGAGACUGAGAAGAAAACUAUUUGGAAUUUCGUUCGCAGAUUCGUGACAUUCAAAAUUAUUUCAUAAAAAUAAAAUUUAAUUGUAAAAGAGAAGGGAAAUGAGAGUUUUUUAUUGGUGCAAACAGUACAAACAAAAAAUGUCAUAUAGAAACAAUUUUAAUAGCCUAAUGACUUAAAUAAAAAAUUUUAAAUAAUUCGGUGACCAAAAUGUAGAGUUACUAAUAAUUUAGUGACAUUGGUUAUAGUUUGCUCUUUUUUUUAUUGAUACAAUAUUAGAGUGGGGAAUAGAAAUCACAAAAUUUAAAAUUGUGUCAAAAAGUGUCCGACAAAAGCUUUAAUUAUCAAUUAAUAAAAGUCAAGAACUAAUAUUUUUUACAUUAACAUAUAUAGAUAAAAUGAAGGGAAAUGAGUGAAAGUUGAGGAAUGGGGCACUAUUUUUUUUUCUUUCUUUUUGGUGAUGAAUAAGAAAUUACAAGAUACAACCUACAUCAACAAACUCAAAUCCACAAACGGGGAUAUUUCAAAGACGUGCAGUCUUUAAUUUUUCAAGUGAGUCAAUUUGGCCAACUUAUCAGCUUCCUAGUUCUCUUCUCUAAGUAUGUGACAAAUAUUCAAAUGAUAAAACUGAAAUAAUAAUUAAAGAAUGUUCCUAAUCAAAGUCAAAAUAAAUCUUUUUACGAGACUUUUCUAAAUGACUGUAAUCAUCUCAAAGCUCUCGGUCUGAUCAACACAUUGUCAAAACGUCCACCAAUUAAAAUGAUUAAUCCAUCCGGUACUCCGAAUGAGGCACUAUUUUGUGUUUGGUAGAAAUGGACCUUUUUGAGUUCAUUGAGUAAUAUUAAUUGUAUUCCAUGUGCUUUCUUCACCAAUCAGUUCCAUAAUCAAUGAGAUUUACCAAUAAUAUCAAUAAUUCAUUUCUAUUUACGACUUCAAUCCAAUUUUUAAAAAAAAAAACAGAAUCAAAGACAAAAUACAAUUAAUAAAAUCCAAUUUAUUUUCACAAUUAACAAAAUUCAAAAUCUUUCAAAUAAAAAAACAAAAUUCUAAAUCCAUUCCCAUCUCUCAAAAACAAAGGACCAAAAGCCAAAAAAAUUUGAAUAAACGACAAUCCUUCAAAAAAAAAAACAUUAGCAAAAAACAAACAAACGAAGCUGCUUUGAUAAUAAGGAACAGAGUAUGCUUUUAACGAUCACUGUUUGGACAGUCUCUUGCAAAAUGCCCAGAGCCUCCACAGUUGUAACAAGACAAACCCCCCCCCGGCCGCCACAGCCCUGUCCACAGUCCCUCGCCAUAUGCCCUAUCUCCCCACACUUAAAGCAUCCUCCUCCGCCGCCUCCAUAACCUCCUCUUCUUCCUCUACCACCAGAUCCACCUCCACCACCACAGCGUCCAGAUCUUGUGGUGCCACGAACAGGGUUCCCAUUAGGGCCGGUGACAUCAACAGCCUUGGUCGACCUCCUUCAGAAGAAUCGAAAUGAACUCGACUUCUUCGCCGUCGGCGAGGCUACGAAAACCGUCGGAACGGAUCGACGAUUGGUGAACGAACAACUCCUCGCCGCUGCCAUCCGGCGUUAUGAAACCAAAUCCCCUUUGGUCACUGAACGACUUCACCUUCCCAGUCACCCUACUCUCACCCAUAUUCAGAUCUCAAAGAACAACAAAACCCAAAAAAUCAAAUGAAAAAAGAAUGACCAGACAGGGAACAGGGACAUCUUUAUAUUGCAGACAUUGCAACGCAAAUGGUGUGGCUGCCACGUCAGCCUUCGAAAAAUAUCUUAAUAAAAAAUUAAUUAAUUUAAAUGUAUGUCUUCUUUCUUAUCGCAGACAAAACGAACGGUGGGGAAUUUGGAAUUCUGGAUCAGGUGAAAUAUGGACCGUCAGGUUAUAUUUGUCUGAAAGGAAUAUGAAACUGUCCCAGAUUUUAAUAGGUACAGUUGAAAAAGACUUCCUAUCUAUCUGUCCCAAUGAUAAUAUCACGAAAUUAAUUUUUUAUAUUAUAUAGAUUAUUCGACAGGAAAAGUAAAUAAACAGUGUAUAUAAUUUAAAUUUUUCUUUAUUUUAAUAUUUAAUUUAUUUGUUUUAAAAAUAAUACAGAUAAAUAAAAUGUCAAGUUAAAAUGCAUUACCUAUUAAAAAUACGAAAAUAUAAUAUUUUAAUUAAACUACUAAUAUUCAUUCUUUUUUAUUUAUUCUAAAAACAUUAAAUUAAUUACCUUUUCUGAUUGAGUUUGAGUUCGCGUAGUUGAUAUUGCAAUUAUCAGUGUAAUAGAAUCAAAUAACCAUAAUUAAGAGUGUAAUAGAAUCAAGUCGAGUUUAAGAUGCAAGAAGCUUAAACUUCAUUCAAGUCAGAAGUUAGUUUUUUUUAAGUUCGAGUUUGAUUUGAUAUGUUUAAAACUCGAUUAUUUAUGAUCGAGAUCAAAUUUGAAUUGAAAACUUUCAAUACUAAUUAAACUCGAAUUAAGUAUUAAAUUACUAAAAUUGACAAUAAAAGUAUCAUGGAGGCCCUUGUAAUAGGAGUUGGAUUGCAUUUUACUCCUUCAACUCAAAAAAUGGGCAAAUUAGUCCCUAUAUAUUAGAUCAAAUAGCAAACUAGUCCUAUUGUUAAGAAUUUCAUCUAUUUUUAUUGUUAAAAACAAGACAUUGUAAGUCAACAUCAGGUAUACAUGGCACGUCACAUAUAAUUGUUUGAUUAUUUCAUCAGCAACCCUAAUUUUUAACAGUACAAAUGGAUUAAAUUUUUAACAAAAAAUACCAAUUUGCUCUUUGAUCUAACAUAAAGGGACUAAUUUACCCAUUUAUGAGUAAAUGAGGCAAAAUGCAUUUUUACUCCCAAUACAAAGAUCUUCGUGAUACUUUCCCCUAAAAUUGACUCUUUUGAGCUUAAUUGAAUGGUUUUCAAGCUAAAUCCAAGUAACUUGUGAAGUUGUAAAAAGAUCACGAAGAUCAUUGUACUAGGAGCCAAAUUGCAUAUUGCUCACUCAAAUCUAAAAAUGAAUAAAUUAGUACUUAUAUGUUAAAUAAAAAAGUAAAUCAGUCAUUUUGUUAAAAGUCAUCCAUUUUUAUUGUUAAAAAUUGGUUCGGUAUGUCAGCAUAAGGUACACGUGACACAUCACAUGCAACUAACUACCUGAUUAUUUCGUCAGUCACACCAGUUUGUAACAAUAUAAAUAGAUUAAAUUUUUAACAAAAAGAAUUAAUUUGCUCUUAAAUCUAAUGUAAAAGGACUAAUUUAGCUAUUUUUAAGUAAAUGGUGCAAAAUAAAAUUUUAACUCUAAUGUAAUACUUUUACUCUCUGAUUCGAUAAUUUUUAAGGUUGAUUCGAUAAUUUUUGAGCUAAAUCCGAGUAACCUGCAAGCCUAAAAAUAAGAUUAUCCUAUUUAAAAUCGAUAACAUUGGUGUCAAUAAUGCUAGAUGUAUACUUAUAUACGAUAAUUUUGAAUGAAAGGUAAAAUUGGAAACUUACAAAACUGAAACUAUUUUUUUUUUUUGGCAGUAAAAGCAUUAAUGGAAUCUUUUACCUCUCGAUUGAUACAGUUCCAAUCGACUUUUAGCUUCUGGUAAUAAAUCAUCAAUGUCGGGAUCUCCCGAUAAAUGAGCUUGUUUCGAUGCCCAUUCAAGU
This 9747-nucleotide long non-coding RNA is filed under the name Gossypium barbadense (sea-island cotton). RNAcentral describes it as "long non-coding RNA (GBAR_LNC013100)". The stretch from base 8728 to 8872 matches the Rfam family "MIR7502 microRNA precursor family". The record is from RNAcentral. Lineage: Eukaryota; Viridiplantae; Streptophyta; Magnoliopsida; Malvales; Malvaceae.